GUCCGGAGCCUGUGCAAGGCCAGACCACGAACCGCGUCAGGACCGGAAGGUAGCAGCGCUAAGAGGACCCUGCCCUGUGCCGCAGGACCUCCGGGCCGC
Molecule: signal recognition particle RNA, 99 nt
Filed under: Acidobacteriota bacterium
Lineage: Bacteria; Pseudomonadati; Acidobacteriota
Description: Acidobacteria bacterium (bioreactor metagenome) signal recognition particle sRNA small type
Rfam family: Bacterial small signal recognition particle RNA
About the family: The signal recognition particle (SRP) is a universally conserved ribonucleoprotein involved in the co-translational targeting of proteins to membranes. Archaeal SRP consists of a 7S RNA and homologues of the eukaryotic SRP19 and SRP54 proteins.
Source: RNAcentral